Molecule: non-coding RNA, 26 nt
Filed under: Rattus norvegicus (Norway rat)
Lineage: Eukaryota; Metazoa; Chordata; Mammalia; Rodentia; Muridae
Source: RNAcentral
GACAGGAUCUUACUUUCUAACCCAGC